UACAGAGGGUGCAAGCGUUAAUCGGAAUUACUGGGCGUAAAGCGCACGCAGGCGGUCUGUCAAGUCGGAUGUGAAAUCCCCGGGCUCAACCUGGGAACUGCAUUCGAAACUGGCAGGCUAGAGCCUUGUAGAGGGGGUAGAAUUCCAGGUGUAGCGGUGAAAUGCGUAGAGAUCUGGAGGAAUACCGGUGGCGAAGGCGGCCCCCUGGACAAAGACUGACGCUCAGGUGCGAAAGCGUGGGGAGCAAACAGG
Molecule: ribosomal RNA, 252 nt
Filed under: uncultured bacterium
Lineage: Bacteria
Description: partial 16S ribosomal RNA
Rfam family: Bacterial small subunit ribosomal RNA
Source: RNAcentral